Molecule: ribosomal RNA, 119 nt
Filed under: Prolemur simus (greater bamboo lemur)
Lineage: Eukaryota; Metazoa; Chordata; Mammalia; Primates; Lemuridae
Source: RNAcentral
GUCUCUGGGCACACCACCGUGAACACACCUGAUCUCAUCUGAACUCAGAAGCUGAGCUGGGUUGGGCCUGGUUAGGACUUGGAUGGGAGACCGCCUGGGAAUACCAGGUGCUGUAGGUU